GAAUGGGGACGUCUUUUUUUUUUUAAAGAAAAAAAGUCAGUUUCUCAUUGAUCAAACCUUUUAUGUCAGUUGGAACCGAUUUAUCAAUUCCCCGAAAAGAAGACGAAAAGAAUUCACGAAAGGGAUAUUAAAAAAGAAAGAAAAUGAAUGAGUCCGAAAUCCAUUCAAGUAAUAAUAAUAGGCUACAAAAGAGAAUCCGAGGGAUGGAAUAAAAAAAUAAUAACGAGCUUAAAAAGGAACAUAAAGAAAAUAAUAAGACGAGCUUUAAAAAAAAAAAGAAAACGAAUAAAAAGGAGAUAAAAAAAAAAAUAAGAAACAAAAACUUGAAUGGUGGUCCAGCAUUGGCCUGGGUGACUACACCCGCGGUGUCGUGUCAUCCAUCACGUCACAUGCCGCUGGACAAGAAGAGACCCGGCAUCCGGGUUUGACGGGUCAAAUGAGAUGUAAUUGCCCCAUCACAAAAUAAGAAAAAGGGGAUUUUAAAUAUCGAUGAGGCCCAACAAGAAUCGCCAUUUUGUCCCAGGUAGAUUAGACAGACACACGCUAUUUUUGUUUCUCUAGUUAAGACGGAGCUGGUCUAUUAGAAGAAUCCAGCAAUGAAAAAUCGAAAAGUAAAAUUCACUGCCAUACGUUAAUUUUCAAAAAUACGACGCUAUAUCAGGAAGAAGAAAAAAAACAUUCCGUAGUGAAGGAGAAACAUAACACCUAAACACGAAAACAAAAUGGCGAUGCGAUGGAGCAAUCAUCAGAAAAAAAAAACAUUUCGUCUUCCGUCUCAUUUGGUGCUGUUGAUAACAAUCGUGCCCAGGUAAAUAGUAAUAAAAAUUCUUCUUUUUUUUUUGUGCCCAUAAUUACACAUUUCAAACGUGGAGGACACACACCAGCAGGAGGAAGGCCAAGUAGUUAACAUACACUCUCUCUCUCUGUGUGUGUGUGUCUGUGCGCUUACGUCUAUACUCCCUAGUCCCGCGGCCAUCUCCUCCUUGCAUCCGGACUGAGAUAUAUAGGGAGGGGAAAGAAAAAAAAAAAGGUUCGAGUUCAAGGCUGUUAUUUAUUUAAAAAAUUAUUUUAUUUUUACUUUGCACCCUCAGUCUCUUGUACGAACCAAUCAGAACUGAGAGAGAGCUACGUGUUAUUAUUCAUCUACUACCACUACUACUACUACUACUACCUCUUUUUUUUUUCCUUAUCUAUAACGAUAUGUAAUUUUUACGAGAGGGAUUAUUCUUUUUCGUUACGUGGCUACUGGCCUCGUCCAGUAAUUACAGAAGCAAUAGAACAAGCCUCUUCCAAAAAAAAAAAUUUUUUUUUCAACAGUCAACUACAACAUAUCCAAAAGACCGGUUACGUCUAUUCAUCUCCAUAUUGGAUGUAAAAACAUUUCAAAUCUACAUAUUUAUUUUUUUCGAUAAACACGACAAAACAAAAUCACCAAAGACACGCCUUUAUUUCUACUAUCCAGCGAUUGAGGGCCAGGGAGACGGAUGAAUGAUUCGGUCCAGCCAACUUAAACGCCAAUGAAGUUAUCGCCGCUCCCGGAAAAAAUGGUGUAUAUCAAGAUCGACAAAUGCCAGGAGCGAAGAAGGAAGAAAUUGUAGCGAGAGGCUAAAGUAAUAAACGUCAGUCAAUUUCUAUUUGCACGACGUAGCAGAUAUCAGUGAGCCAUUUAAAACACGUCCGGGGGGAUGUGUUCUGUUUAUACAGCACGACAACAUCUACAUACAUCAUCGAAAGAAGAGAAGAAAUAAAAAGAUGUAGUAAGUACACAUAGCUUCUGAUUUCUCAUCAGCCCUUUGACUUUUUCUUUUCUGUUACAUGUCGCGGUUUUCGAUAGCUCGUCUUUCAAUCGUACUAAAGAAAUAUUGACUAUAUGGGGGGUCUUUGGGUACGAUCCUCUCUCUUUAAAUCGGCAUCUUCUUACAAAUUCGUUUUCUUUCCUUCACAUCUUUCGUUUCGAAAUGUUAUCACGUCAAUCGUCGGGCUACCAGAUGAUAUUGAACCGAAAGAGCCCCAAAUCCCGGGGACCAAUCCACCGGUUAAUAACGAGGAGACUGUGCAGAAUUGAGAGCAAAAUGGGUACAGUAAUAACAGGAAUUUCGUAUGUGCAGUGGGUUACCACCUCUGUGUGUGUUUAUGUUUCUAUUUGGCUCUAUCGGAAAACAUGUCGAGACUAAAUUUAAAGCAAAAAGAAAACGGGGCCGAUCGAUCGUCUAGACAGCCGUAAGCCGGAGGCAAACGGAGUUGGGAAGAACGCCGGCGGAGUGAGGAGCGAAAUCACGUUCAUCCUAGAGCUAAUGCCAGUUAAUUCCCGCGCAAGUUGAAGUCGGUGUGAGAACCUUUCAUUAGGGAAAUAGUAUAAGGAAGGAGAAAGAAUAAGUAAGAGAGGAAAUCAUCCUAAAAUCUACAAUGUUUACAAGCAAACGAAUGGAAUCCCGUCUGACGGAAGUGCUGUUGCGAUGUCGUGAGGCCAGCGGGAUUAACGAAAGAGAACGUAAAAGAAAGUCAGAAAACAACAAUAUGAAAAGAAAAAAAAAAGAAAAUCAUCACGUCAUCACGAUGCCAACGGGCUAAGAGGGAGGGGGGCUUUUUCUUAACACUAAAGCAAUAUGCAAUUGGCGUAACUGCGGUUCGUCUCUUGGAAACCCAUCGUCACUCUGAUAAUUCAUUUCUUUUUUUAGAAUUUAAUCUAAAUCUAAAAUCGAGGACAACGGGUCAAGUCAAGCGCGACAUCUAGUUGCAUCGGCCACGAGCAAGCUUUUAAUAAGUAUUCCUGUUCAUUUUGAACAAUAAUCAAAAUUAUUAAGCCCCGAUUGAAAUAGCGUGAAUUGAUUUCGAUUGAAUGUCGUGUGUCAAGUUCGGUUUUAGAACAAUAGUUCCAAAUAUAAUUUUUUUUUUUUUCUUUUCCGAGAACCAAUUACAUGACAGUAACUAACGUAGAUUGUACGCAGCGACUGUCACGGCGACUUGCUCGUAAAGGGAUUUGAUGGUAGGAGGAGUCUAGCGCAAUUACCAUGUUUCCUGUCCUCUGUUUGUAUGUGGCACACAAUAGCUUUCAGGAAGGGGGGAGAGACGGGUGAGGUCUGUCAUCAUCAGCUAUUCCCUUAGAAAUUUUUUUUUUACCCUACAACCAACGAAGAGGGGGGGGCUCUUCGUCUCCGUGACAUGACGCAUUGGAGAGCAGCCCUGAGAGACGGACGCUGAAUCAGCAAAAGAGCUAUGGAGUGGAGGGAGAGAGUGGAGGGCACCGAAGCGAAAUCCAUCGUGCGUUGAUGUAUAGUGUCGCUCCACUUGGCGAUGUCAUAGAAACUGGUCACAACGUCAGUCAACUUUCACUCUCGACGACCAUUGCUCUUUCACACUCGUUGUUUUUCUUAGUCUAUGCGAUGGGGAAGCUCAUUACUUACUGCGAACCAUAUCUGCCAAAUUGUUUCCUUCGACUCCUGCCUCCUCAUUCUUUUUUUCCUAGUUUCUGUAAAGAACUUAAUGAAUUGAGUCAUCCACAGCGACGCGCGAUCACGCCUUAUUAUUUACUGCGGGUUGGUUUCUAGCCGAUUUGAUCCGGCUUCGAUUGUAAACCGUUAUGGAUUAUUCCUUCUGGCGGCGCAACUGAUGCGAUUCAAGAACACAACAUCCUCGCAACAACCAGAAACUUUUUCGUUCGUAUAAUAUUCUUUUAUAUCGGCACCGAGAAAGGCAAGGCGACGGUUGCAUACAGAAGAAGGAGUUGUACUCUCUUCAACGAUUUGGGAAAUUACCCGAGUUCUCUCUUUGAAGUGAGUAAAGAAAAGAGUUGCGCGGAUCAUUACAUUUCGCCAGACAGGCACUAGGGGAGAAAAGGAAAUGAAUAACGAAGCUUGUUGUUGGUCUAGAAAGAAAAAGAGGGAGAAAAAAAAAGAAAUACUGUAAUGUUCUGCCUGCUUUGUCCUGGGGAGAGAAAAGGAUUGAUGUGUUCUGCUGGCCAAUCCAAUUUCUGUGGUCACAACGACAUUUCUAGAAAAACAAGCGAAAAGAGCCGAAAAGAGAAAUGAUGACGAACUCCCUCAUUUAUGUGUGAUGUAGCGCUAAUGACAGGUUUUUGUGGCCAGCUGGAAAUUUAAUAAAUUGUUAUGCCUCUCUUUUUUCUUUUCCCUUUUGUAGUCAAUACGGUCAGACAAAGUUCCAUCCCAUCAUUUGCUUUUGUUUUGUUUUCUUCUUUUUUUUUUUUUUUCCCCCCUUAAUGCUGGCUUUGUACUCGAAACGACUGCCAGUUAUUAGAAGCCAAAACUGCCCCCCAUGUGUAUGUAAACGGAAGGGCGCAGUCGUCUCGUGAGCGUGAAAGCCCCGAGUUAUUCGAUGCACUUAAUGACCAGUCAUGUCGUAUAUUAUAUGCGUACAGAAAUGGACAGAGCAGCGACUUGGCCGAGAUAAAAUAUAUCUAGAAACGCCUCUGAGAACUAAAAAAGAAAUGUGAUUGAAGGUAACUCUCUUUUUUUAAGUUCGUCCGUUCGUGGAUGCAAAAUGGCAAUUACGUCAGAACUACAAGGCGGGAUUGUUUCUAUUUUUCCGCGGAGAAGAGUUAUCAUUUAUUUUACGGCACCCUUUUUUUUUUUUAUUCUCAGAAAAAAAAAGGAGUAAAUGUUAAAUAAAUUAAAUCGGGCGGGACUGGGGAGGGUUUCCUGUUUACAAUUAUCUCGCCACCCCUUUCUCCCUUUGCCGCCACCAAGAAUUAGAAAAAGAACUAAAAUUUUUUAAUUUUUCUCUGAUUGUUUUAAAAAAAUGAUCCAGGUAUCCAAGGCCCAAAGACGUGGGAAUCCGGCAUCUUUUUCUGGAUAGUGGCACGAGAUCGCUCAGUUCAAUACAGGCCGCCCGUCCGCUCGUACUCCCCCCUCACAGACGCCAUGGAGCGCAACUUCCCACUAAAGAAGCUCCUCGUAAAACACAAAAAUCAGGUAUUUAUCUCCUCAACUAAGGUCUGUUUUCUCUUAACGUUGGGAAACAAUUGCCGAUAUCCGAGAAAUGAAAAAGGUAAUCAUCGAAAACCGUCAAAAUCGAAUGGUUUCUCCGAACGCGCGCACAAAACGAUCACACACACACAAAUCGCCUUUUUUUUGUUGUAACGUCACACACACACACACACACAUAAAGAGAUACAUAAAAAGACGAGUUUAUGGAUUGGCUCUGCUUCGGCCAGAACGGACUGAUUACAGAGAAGAUAGGCUUAUCAUUAUCUUCCGGAUUCAAAAACAAAUUUGAUGGGAUAAAAAAUAAAAGAGGCUACCCCCAUUGCAAUAGCGAGAUGGCAUCCAUUAUAAUCCUCAAGACUGCUUUCCUUAAGCUUCUUCCUCCCUCUGUUUCGAGAGCCUCGACCUUAAUAGCCGCGUGCAUAUCCAGUGUAUACAGCUUCUAUCGGAGCCAAAAUGACGACAACCAACAAGGUUAAAGAGAAAGCGUUUAGAGCUUAAGUCGUAACAAGAGCCAUGAAGAGGAUCUAAGUCCCAAUUGUCCGCCGUAGUAUUUCAUAUUGGCCCACACACACGCACACCUUAUAGCUGCUGCCUCAUUAUGUUUCUGGCCUUUCUUUUUUUACGACCCAAGUGGCUAUGUUUUCUGUAUAUAACUUUUUGAAGCGAGAAACAUCCAAGAGCUUUUUAGCUGGGGCAUAGAGUCAAGAAACAGGGAUAGAAGGAUGGUACUGGGGUUUCCUCCCACUGAAAAACAUUGACGUGCACCGUUGCAUGCAGAGCGCACUCUUUUUUUCUUCCUUUUUUCUAACGGUCCUCUUUUUUUUUCUCUAGUGCUGCUCGUAAAUUGGAGCCAUCUGGGCUUACAUUUUUAUGUUCGACACUUUCCUUCCUGUGCCUGUUUCGCGUCCCCCCCGUACUUUUACUGCGUCUCCUCCGCCCCGUGAAAUCAAGCGACCCCCGCACGCACGGCCCCUCGCCACGUUGCAAAUAGGGAAAUCAUUUAGGGUAUAACAUAUUAAGCGAAAGGGGGAACUUCGAUUCACAUCAACUUGCGAUAGGAAACCAAAAGGAGUAUAAAGGUAGACUGAUUCCGGGGAUUUGCAAAAGCUCUAACGCCCCAUCCGCCCAUUCGGCACGUUUCUCCGACAUGCGAUUGGAAAAUGUCACCAUCGACUUCCCCGUCUAUUACGAUAUAUUUAGGUGAUCCAAAAGGCAAGCGUUUUCUUCCCAAUUUUUUCGUUGAAAAUCUACUACUAAAUUCCAUAUAGGAUGAUGUCUUCGUUUAAGACCCAAAAAAUAACGACGUCCCUUCUACCCCCCUCAGAGCUCCCAUUUUUUUUCAAUCUAAACUUGUUUUGGAUUUACUUAAUGGUAUUUCAAUAUGCCUAAAAAUGUAAAAAAAAUAAAUAAAUGAAAACCAACAGGCACAAUGUAUAUACAGACGUAAAUGUAAUCUAAAAGUAAACACAAAAAGUUUGAAUAAAUUUCCUCAACCAGU
This is a long non-coding RNA of Daphnia magna, 6441 nucleotides long. RefSeq lists it as uncharacterized. Lineage: Eukaryota; Metazoa; Arthropoda; Branchiopoda; Diplostraca; Daphniidae. The transcript has 3 exons. The record is from RefSeq and is a predicted model, not a curated record.